GAUGAACGCUAGCGGCAGGCCUAAUACAUGCAAGUCGAGGGGUAUGGGUUGCUUGCAAUCCAGAGACCGACGCACGGGUGCGUAACGCGUAUGCAACCUACCUUAAUCAGGGGGAUAGCCCGGAGAAUCCGGAUUAACACCGCAUAAAAACACAGGGUAGCAUUACCCAAUGUUCAAAGAUUUAGAGGAUUAAGAUGGGCAUGCGUGCCAUUAGCUAGUUGGCGGGGUAACGGCCAACAAAGGCGACGAUGGCUAGGGGAUCGGAGAGGAUGACCCCCCACACUGGUACUGAGACACGGACCAGACUCCUACGGGAGGCAGCAGUAAGGAAUAUUGGUCAAUGGGGGCAACCCUGAACCAGCCAUGCCGCGUGCAGGAUGACGGCCCUCCGGGUUGUAAACUGCUUUUGUACGGGAAUAAACCUUUCUUCGUGAAGAGAGCUGAAUGUACCGUAAGAAUAAGGAUCGGCUAACUCCGUGCCAGCCGCCGCGGUAA
Molecule: ribosomal RNA, 495 nt
Filed under: uncultured bacterium
Lineage: Bacteria
Description: partial 16S ribosomal RNA
Rfam family: Bacterial small subunit ribosomal RNA
Source: RNAcentral